RNAcentral lists this ribosomal RNA (1017 nucleotides) under Salmonella enterica subsp. enterica serovar Typhimurium. RNAcentral's name for it is "bacterial SSU rRNA". It matches the Rfam family "Bacterial small subunit ribosomal RNA", at positions 89 to 1102 of the family's 1533-position model. Lineage: Bacteria; Pseudomonadati; Pseudomonadota; Gammaproteobacteria; Enterobacterales; Enterobacteriaceae. The record is from RNAcentral.
UGACGAGUGGCGGACGGGUGAGUAAUGUCUGGGAAACUGCCUGAUGGAGGGGGAUAACUACUGGAAACGGUGGCUAAUACCGCAUAACGUCGCAAGACCAAAGAGGGGGACCUUCGGGCCUCUUGCCAUCAGAUGUGCCCAGAUGGGAUUAGCUAGUUGGUGAGGUAACGGCUCACCAAGGCGACGAUCCCUAGCUGGUCUGAGAGGAUGACCAGCCACACUGGAACUGAGACACGGUCCAGACUCCUACGGGAGGCAGCAGUGGGGAAUAUUGCACAAUGGGCGCAAGCCUGAUGCAGCCAUGCCGCGUGUAUGAAGAAGGCCUUCGGGUUGUAAAGUACUUUCAGCGGGGAGGAAGGUGUUGUGGUUAAUAACCGCAGCAAUUGACGUUACCCGCAGAAGAAGCACCGGCUAACUCCGUGCCAGCAGCCGCGGUAAUACGGAGGGUGCAAGCGUUAAUCGGAAUUACUGGGCGUAAAGCGCACGCAGGCGGUCUGUCAAGUCGGAUGUGAAAUCCCCGGGCUCAACCUGGGAACUGCAUUCGAAACUGGCAGGCUUGAGUCUUGUAGAGGGGGGUAGAAUUCCAGGUGUAGCGGUGAAAUGCGUAGAGAUCUGGAGGAAUACCGGUGGCGAAGGCGGCCCCCUGGACAAAGACUGACGCUCAGGUGCGAAAGCGUGGGGAGCAAACAGGAUUAGAUACCCUGGUAGUCCACGCCGUAAACGAUGUCUACUUGGAGGUUGUGCCCUUGAGGCGUGGCUUCCGGAGCUAACGCGUUAAGUAGACCGCCUGGGGAGUACGGCCGCAAGGUUAAAACUCAAAUGAAUUGACGGGGGCCCGCACAAGCGGUGGAGCAUGUGGUUUAAUUCGAUGCAACGCGAAGAACCUUACCUGGUCUUGACAUCCACAGAACUUUCCAGAGAUGGAUUGGUGCCUUCGGGAACUGUGAGACAGGUGCUGCAUGGCUGUCGUCAGCUCGUGUUGUGAAAUGUUGGGUUAAGUCCCGCAACGAGCGCAAC